UAAAUAGCCUCCAUAAAUAGUCCAAGAUGAAUGAAAUUCAGCAACUGACAACCCACCUUUAAGCUACAAUAACAAUGGUUCUUGAACUUUUUUAUGUCAUGUUAAUCCUGUGUUGUAUACAUAAUCUGGCAUUUGCACAGGACGAAAAUACUCGUAUAGCACCAUUUGGCUGCAAUUCCACAUGUGGAAAUGUUGAAAUCCCUUUCCCAUUUGGUAUGAACGAACCCAAUUAUUGCUAUGCAGACCACUGGUUCCAAAUAGAGUGUAGGCACGAUACACCUUACCUGAAAUCUAUAGGGCUGGAGGUCUCAUCAAUUGAUGUAUCAGAAGGCACGAUUGAAAUCAUGCAUCCAAUUCACCGUUGGAACUGCAAACCCCAACACAACGCUACGAAUACUGAGCAAGAAGUGGUUGACCUGAGAGGAAGCCCCUUCGUGUAUUCGCAGGAAAACAACAUGUUUGUGUCAGCUGGCUGCAAUGAAAUCUCUUUCUUGGUGUCCAACGGCACGCAAGUUAGCGGCUGCGUGUCAAUUUGCGACGACAAGAAGGACGUUGAGGAGAACAUUGAAAUCCAAAAUUGCAACGGCAAAUACUGCUGUGUGACCUCCUUGCCUUUGUAUCUCUCGGAAUUUAACGUCACAACGGAGAGUUUCGGGAGUAACAACAACAAUCGUGCUAGUGAUGAUGAUGAGUGCAGUAGCUAUGCGUUGAUUGUGCAUUACUUUCGUGUUCCUGACUACAUGCGCUAUGAUAGCAGCUACGCCUAUUACCGUUGGAAUUCGAUGACAGAUCUUCGGAGUUUGAAGAAAGUUGCGGUGGUGCUUGAAUGGGAGAUUCAUAACUCAUCCAUAACACUCCCUCGCUCAGGUCACUGCGUCAACACUAACAUUACAUCUGCAAAGAACAAUCACUCAGGUCGGAGAUGUUACUGCCUCGAAGACUCUUACGGCAAUCCCUACAUUGAAGGAGGCUGCAGCUACGCCAACGAUUAUGGUGACAACGGCGAAGGAAACAAAAACCGGUCAAAAUGGGCUAUAAUAGGUGUUUUCUCGAGUGUUGGAUCUAUCAUUUUUCUCCUUGGCUCAUGGCGGGUUUAUAAAGUUGUAAGGAGAAGAAUAGUACAGAACCGCAUAGAAAAAAACUUCAAAAAGAAUGGAGGUUUGCUGCUAGAAAAAAGGAUGUCUUCUGGCGAAGUUAAUGUUGACAAAGUUAAACACUUUACCUUAAAGGAGUUAGAGAAGGCCACUGAUAACUUCAACAUGAACAGAGUUCUCGGUAAGGGAGGACAAGGCACCGUCUACAAAGGAAUGCUUGUAGAUGGAAAAAUUGUUGCAGUCAAAAAAUUUAGAGUCCACGGAAAUGUUGAAGAAUUCAUUAACGAAUUCGUCAUUCUUUCACAAAUUAACCAUAGAAAUGUGGUUAAGUUGUUAGGAUGUUGUUUGGAGAAAGAAAUUCCUUUGCUUGUUUAUGAGUUCAUUCCUAAUGGCAAUCUUUAUGAAUAUUUGCAUGGCCAAAAUGAGGACUUGCCAAUGACAUGGGAUAUGCGUUUGAGAAUUGCAUCUGAGAUUGCAGGAGCUUUGUUUUACUUACACUCUGCUGCUUCUCAACCAAUUUAUCACAGAGAUGUGAAGUCAACAAAUAUUUUGUUGGAUGGAAAGUACAGAGCAAAAGUAGCUGACUUUGGAGCUUCAAGAAUGAUCUCCAUCGAAGAUACUCACCUCACCACAGUAGUUCAAGGGACUUUUGGAUAUCUGGAUCCUGAAUACUUUCAUACUAGUCAAUUGACAGAAAAGAGUGAUGUUUACAGUUUUGGAGUAGUUCUUCUUGAACUUUUGACAGGACAAAAGCCAUUAUCCUCCUUAAGACCCAACGAAGCAAAAAGUUUGGCUUCGUAUUUCGUUCUUUCUGUUGAGGAAGAUCGCUUGUUUGACAUUAUUGAUGAUAGGGUGACAAAAGAAGGAGACAAAGAACACAUAAUUGCUGUUGCGAAUCUUGCAUAUAGAUGCUUAGAGCUCAAUGGGAAAAGAAGGCCAACUAUGAAAGAAGUCACAAGAGAAUUGGAUGAGAUCUGGAAAUUGGAGAGGAAGUUUAAUAAUGCACAGCAACAUCGUCAUGAAGAAAUUGAGCAUCCUGCAAUUGAAUAUCACCAUGCUUGGGUUGCAAAUUCUGCUCCUGAUAUAAGUCCAAGCAACGUAACACUCACCUCAGAGUCAGAAGCUAUGCAUAUUCUUACCGAAUAAUUUGAAAUCAAAUGCUAUGCAGACCAGUGGUUCCAAAUAGAAUGCAGGCAAAUCUAUAGGGAUGGAGUCGUCCGUAAGGCUUCCUAGCAACUGUAAGGGGCAGCAAUGUUACAUCAUAUUCCAAGAACUCAUCCGGUCGGAGAUGUUACUGCCACGACUACUCCUCUGGCAAUCCCUACAUUCCACAAGGCUGCAGGCUCAAUGACGGUGUGGUGCACUUGAUUAUCCGAUUUUGGCAUAAAAUGGUCUGUUCCGCGUAGGCGCGUACUUUAAAGAAACACUUUGAAAGCUGGACAGGUGUCACAACUAGGAAGGAGGAAAGCAAGAAGUAGUUCAUAAGCUUCUUUGCGGUUAUUUGGAACGUCUAGUUGGAAAGGAAUCGGAAAUUGUUUCAGAAUAUAGGAAAAUGUGCUGGUGACGUUAUCAACAUGACUAUACUUAAUUAUAAGGAGUGGAGGUGCGAGGAUCCCUUUUGUUGUUGAUGGCAAUGCCGGAGAUGACAUGGGGAUGCGUAUUUGUUGAGCUUUCUAGGUGGUAACAAUAGGUAUUAUUUUAUUGUUGUCUAUAGUUUGUUUUUGCUUGUUUAUGUACCAAAUGCUCCACGUUUGUGUUGAGCUCUUCUUGUUUCAGAAAAAAACCAUAGAAACGUAGUCAAGUUGUUAGGAUGUUGUUUGGAGAAAGAAAUUCCUUUGCUUGUUUAUGAGUUCAUUCCCAAUGGCAAUCUUUAUGAAUAUUUGCAUGACCAAAAUGAGGACUUGCAA
This is an RNA transcript of Arachis ipaensis, 3001 nucleotides long. It is a transcript of the gene named putative wall-associated receptor kinase-like 16, with no coding region annotated. The record is from RefSeq and is a predicted model, not a curated record. Lineage: Eukaryota; Viridiplantae; Streptophyta; Magnoliopsida; Fabales; Fabaceae.